AAACCCAUCCGGGGGGUUUAAGGGGUGUUGGGCCUGCCUAAUGUGGGCCGGUAGCUCAGCCUGGGAGAGCGCCGGCUUUGCAAGCCGGAGGCCCCGGGUUCAAAUCCCGGCCGGUCCACCACGAAGAGGUGCACAUCCCGAGCAACGCUCGGGGUGGAAGGGCCCUAGACCCCGAACAGGGG
This 182-nucleotide transfer RNA is filed under the name Thermococcus barophilus. Its description in RNAcentral is "16S-23S ribosomal RNA intergenic spacer". The stretch from base 45 to 118 matches the Rfam family "tRNA". Lineage: Archaea; Methanobacteriati; Methanobacteriota; Thermococci; Thermococcales; Thermococcaceae. The record is from RNAcentral.